GGAUCUUUAGCUCAGUUGGUUAGAGCGUUCGCUUCACACGCGAGAGGUCGCUGGUUCGAGUCCAGUAAGAUCCACCC
This 77-nucleotide transfer RNA is filed under the name Micrococcus luteus. RNAcentral describes it as "tRNA-Val". It matches the Rfam family "tRNA". From Rfam's summary of the family: Transfer RNA (tRNA) molecules are approximately 80 nucleotides in length. Lineage: Bacteria; Bacillati; Actinomycetota; Actinomycetes; Micrococcales; Micrococcaceae. The record is from RNAcentral.